AGAUUGAACGCUGGCGGCAGGCCUAACACAUGCAAGUCGAGCGGUAGAGAGGUGCUUGCACCUCUUGAGAGCGGCGGACGGGUGAGUAAAGCCUAGGAAUCUGCCUGGUAGUGGGGGAUAACGCUCGGAAACGGACGCUAAUACCGCAUACGUCCUACGGGAGAAAGCAGGGGACCUUCGGGCCUUGCGCUAUCAGAUGAGCCUAGGUCGGAUUAGCUAGUUGGUGAGGUAAUGGCUCACCAAGGCGACGAUCCGUUAACUGGUCUGAGAGGAUGGAUCAGUCACACGUGGAACUGG
RNAcentral lists this ribosomal RNA (297 nucleotides) under uncultured soil bacterium. RNAcentral's name for it is "partial 16S ribosomal RNA". It matches the Rfam family "Bacterial small subunit ribosomal RNA", at positions 26 to 322 of the family's 1533-position model. The record is from RNAcentral.